RNAcentral lists this ribosomal RNA (953 nucleotides) under human gut metagenome. RNAcentral's name for it is "bacterial SSU rRNA". It matches the Rfam family "Bacterial small subunit ribosomal RNA", at positions 89 to 1036 of the family's 1533-position model. The record is from RNAcentral.
CGACGAGUGGCGAACGGGUGAGUAAUACAUCGGAACGUGUCCGCUCGUGGGGGACAACCAGCCGAAAGGUUGGCUAAUACCGCAUGAGUUCUACGGAAGAAAGAGGGGGACCCGCAAGGGCCUCUCGCGAGCGGAGCGGCCGAUGACUGAUUAGCCGGUUGGUGAGGUAACGGCUCACCAAAGCAACGAUCAGUAGCUGGUCUGAGAGGACGACCAGCCACACUGGGACUGAGACACGGCCCAGACUCCUACGGGAGGCAGCAGUGGGGAAUUUUGGACAAUGGGCGCAAGCCUGAUCCAGCUAUUCCGCGUGUGGGAUGAAGGCCCUCGGGUUGUAAACCACUUUUGUAGAGAACGAAAAGACAUCUUCGAAUAAAGGAUGUUGCUGACGGUACUCUAAGAAUAAGCACCGGCUAACUACGUGCCAGCAGCCGCGGUAAUACGUAGGGUGCGAGCGUUAAUCGGAAUUACUGGGCGUAAAGGGUGCGCAGGCGGUUGAGUAAGACAGAUGUGAAAUCCCCGAGCUUAACUCGGGAAUGGCAUAUGUGACUGCUCGACUAGAGUGUGUCAGAGGGAGGUGGAAUUCCACGUGUAGCAGUGAAAUGCGUAGAUAUGUGGAAGAACACCGAUGGCGAAGGCAGCCUCCUGGGACAUAACUGACGCUCAGGCACGAAAGCGUGGGGAGCAAACAGGAUUAGAUACCCUGGUAGUCCACGCCCUAAACGAUGUUAACUAGUUGUUGGGAUGUAACAAUCUCAGUAACGCAGCCAACGCGAGAAGUUAACCGCCUGGGAAGUACGGUCGCAAGACUAAAACUCAAAGGAAUUGACGGGGACCCGCACAAGCGGUGGAUGAUGUGGAUUAAUUCGAUGCAACGCGAAAAACCUUACCUACCCUUGACAUGUCAGGAAGCUCUUGUAAUGAGAGCGUGCCCGCAAGGGAGCCUGAACACA